GCACGCAAGACGUUUGGAUAUUUUGCUCGUUCAUUUCUCCAUCACAAGAACAGCUGACGAUUCAAGAUGUAUCUGUUGCUGAAUGUCAUAGUUGCAUUUCAAUACGUGAACUCAGUGACGGUCCGACAGACCCCUUCAGCUGUCUCCAAAUCUAUGAAAGAGAGUGUGGAGUUGAAAUGCACGGUGGAGGGAAAGAAUACAGGUGCUAUGUACUGGUACAGACAAAACCCGGGGAAGGAACUACAACUGAUGUUUUAUUCUCCAGUUGCGCCAACUGUGAAUAGAGAAGAGGCGGAGGAUGGUUUCACCGCCAAGCGACCGAGUGGCUCCUACUUUAACCUGGAGUCCUCCAGCCUGAAGGCAGAUGACUCGGCCGUGUAUUAUUGCGCCUGGAGUAUUCACAGUGAGACAGAGAGAGGGGGCAGCUCAACAAAAAUCCCAAAGGUAGUAGUAAACAACAUGGAAUUAUAG
Hemiscyllium ocellatum (epaulette shark) is the source of this 471-nucleotide non-coding RNA. The record is from the annotation of a RefSeq genome assembly. NCBI's taxonomy places the organism in Eukaryota, Metazoa, Chordata, Chondrichthyes, Orectolobiformes, Hemiscylliidae.